CUAUAAUUGACCCCUUUCUCUUAUUUCCCUCAGGCUUACAUCCUUCUGGAAUCACUGAAACUGGAGGUGCAGGGGGGAAGCAGCUGCUGGGUUCAGCCUUCACAGUUCAGAUCCUCCCAGGAGAGAGGAUAUCCUCCAUGGCGGCUGGGUAACUAAGACAAUACAGUGGAAUGCGCGGCAAGAGGCUUAUUUCUAAUAAGGAAGCAUUCACAUCCUAUGUUUCAUUUGGGGGAGUCGGAGAAUACUUUGGAACCAUGUUAAUGGAGACUGAACAGCAGAAGGAGGAACUGUACUCUCCACACUGAUAGUUUCUGUUGGCAGAUAAAUGCUCAAUUAUUCUUUUCACUUUACCUAAGGAUAUAUUUUCCAUGUAAGUCUGUAAAAGAUAAAAAUGGUUAUUAAACAAGUUCUUUUUUAUUUUAAAAAGACAGGGUCUCUCUGUGUUCCCCAGGCAAGCCCUGAACUCCUAGGCCCAAGC
Molecule: long non-coding RNA, 478 nt
Filed under: Marmota marmota marmota (Alpine marmot)
Lineage: Eukaryota; Metazoa; Chordata; Mammalia; Rodentia; Sciuridae
Description: lncRNA (ENSMMMG00000014148.1)
Source: RNAcentral